AUUGAACGCUGGCGGCAUGCCUUACACAUGCAAGUCGAACGGUAACGCGGGGCAACCUGGCGACGAGUGGCGAACGGGUGAGUAAUGCAUCGGAACGUGCCCAGUAGUGGGGGAUAGCUCGACGAAAGUCGAAUUAAUACCGCAUACGACCUAAGGGUGAAAGGGGGGGAUCGCAAGACCUCUCGCUAUUGGAGCGGCCGAUGUCAGAUUAGGUAGUUGGUAGGGUAAAAGCCUACCAAGCCUAUGAUCUGUAGCUGGUCUGAGAGGACGACCAGCCACACUGGGACUGAGACACGGCCCAGACUCCUACGGGAGGCAGCAGUGGGGAAUAUUGCGCAAUGGGGGAAACCCUGACGCAGCAACGCCGCGUGAGUGAGGAAGGACUUCGGUCUGUAAAGCUCUGUUAAUGUGGAAAAAUGGUAGUUGGUCUAAUAGGCCGAUUAUUUGAUGGUACACAUAGAGGAAGCACCGGCUAACUUCGUGCCAGCAGCCGCGGUAAAG
RNAcentral lists this ribosomal RNA (501 nucleotides) under uncultured bacterium. Its description in RNAcentral is "bacterial SSU rRNA". It matches the Rfam family "Bacterial small subunit ribosomal RNA", at positions 30 to 525 of the family's 1533-position model. The record is from RNAcentral.